CUACACAUGCAGUCGAGCGGGAUUUACCGGCUUAGUUUACUAAGUUGGUAAAUUCAGCGGCGGACGGGUGAGUAACGCGUGAGCAAUCUGCCUUGUACAGGGGGAUAACAGCCGGAAACGGCUGCUAAUACCGCAUAAGGCCACAGUACCGCAUGGUACAGGGGUCAAAGGAGAGAUCCGGUAUAAGAUGAGCUCGCGUUCCAUUAGCUGGUUGGUGAGGUAACGGCCCACCAAGGCGACGAUGGGUAGCCGGCCUGAGAGGGUGAACGGCCACAUUGGGACUGAGGCACGGCCCAAACUCCUACGGGAGGCAGCAGUGGGGGAUAUUGCGCAAUGGGGGAAACCCUGACGCAGCAACGCCGCGUGAGUGAAGGAGGCCUUCGGGUCGUAAAACUCUGUGACAGGGGAAGAAGAAAGUGACGGUACCCUGAGAGGAAGCCCCGGCUAACUACGUGCCAGCAGCCGCGGUAAUACGUAGGGGGCAAGCGUUGUCCGGAAUUACUGGGCGUAAAGGGUGCGUAGGCGGCCAGGCAAGUCCGAUGUGAAAUACCACGGCUAAACUGUGGGGGUGCAUAGGAAACUGUCUGGCUUGAGUGCAGGAGAGGAAAGUGGAAUUCCUGGUGUAGCGGUGAAAUGCGUAGAGAUCAGGAAGAACACCAGUGGCGAAGGCGACUUUCUGGACUGUAACUGACGCUGAGGCACGAAAGCGUGGGGAGCAAACAGGAUUAGAUACCCUGGUA
RNAcentral lists this ribosomal RNA (740 nucleotides) under uncultured bacterium. RNAcentral describes it as "bacterial SSU rRNA". It matches the Rfam family "Bacterial small subunit ribosomal RNA", at positions 49 to 792 of the family's 1533-position model. The record is from RNAcentral.